GACGAACGCUGGCGGCGUGCCUAAUACAUGCAAGUCGAACGCUUCUUUCCUCCCGAGUGCUUGCCCUCAAUUGGAAAGAGGAGUGGCGGACGGGUGAGUAACACGUGGGUAACCUACCCAUCAGAGGGGGAUAACACUUGGAAACAGGUGCUAAUACCGCAUAACAGUUUAUGCCGCAUGGCAUAAGAGUGAAAGGCGCUUUCGGGUGUCGCUGAUGGAUGGACCCGCGGUGCAUUAGCUAGUUGGUGAGGUAACGGCUCACCAAGGCCACGAUGCAUAGCCGACCUGAGAGGGUGAUCGGCCACACUGGGACUGAGACACGGCCCAGACUCCUACGGGAGGCAGCAGUAGGGAAUCUUCGGCAAUGGACGAAAGUCUGACCGAGCAACGCCGCGUGAGUGAAGAAGGUUUUCGGAUCGUAAAACUCUGUUGUUAGAGAAGAACAAGGACGUUAGUAACUGAACGUCCCCUGACGGCAUCUAACCAGAAAGCCACGGCUAACUACGUG
This 508-nucleotide ribosomal RNA is filed under the name uncultured bacterium. RNAcentral describes it as "partial 16S ribosomal RNA". It matches the Rfam family "Bacterial small subunit ribosomal RNA", at positions 28 to 507 of the family's 1533-position model. The record is from RNAcentral.